GAUGAACGCUGGCGGCGUGCUUAACACAUGCAAGUCGAACGAUGAAGCCCAGCUUGCUUGGUGGAUUAGUGGCGAACGGGUGAGUAACACGUGAGUAACCUGCCCUUAACUCUGGGAUAAGCCUGGGAAACUGGGUCUAAUACCGGAUAGGAGCGUCCACCGCAUGGUGGGUGUUGGAAAGAUUUAUCGGUUUUGGAUGGACUCGCGGCCUAUCAGCUUGUUGGUGAGGUAAUGGCUCACCAAGGCGACGACGGGUAGCCGGCCUGAGAGGGUGACCGGCCACACUGGGACUGAGACACGGCCCAGACUCCUACGGGAGGCAGCAGUGGGGAAUAUUGCACAAUGGGCGCAAGCCUGAUGCAGCGACGCCGCGUGAGGGAUGACGGCCUUCGGGUUGUAAACCUCUUUCAGUAGGGAAGAAGCGAAAGUGACGGUACCUGCAGAAGAAGCACCGGCUAACUACGUG
Molecule: ribosomal RNA, 466 nt
Filed under: uncultured bacterium
Lineage: Bacteria
Description: partial 16S ribosomal RNA
Rfam family: Bacterial small subunit ribosomal RNA
Source: RNAcentral